AGCGAACGCUGGCGGCAGGCUUAACACAUGCAAGUCGAGCGGGCAUCCUUGUGGUGUCAGCGGCAGACGGGUGAGUAACGCGUGGGAACGUGCCCUUCGGUUCGGAAUAACUCAGGGAAACUUGAGCUAAUACCGGAUACGUGCGAGAGCAGAAAGGUUUAUCUGCCGAAGGAUCGGCCCGCGUCUGAUUAGCUAGUUGGUGAGGUUACGGCUCACCAAGGCGACGAUCAGUAGCUGGUCUGAGAGGAUGAUCAGCCACCCUGGGACUGAGACACGGCCCAGACUCCUACGGGAAGCAGCAGUGGGGAAUAUUGGACAAUGGGGGCAACCCUGAUCCAGCCAUGCCGCGUGAGUGAUGACGGCCUUAGGGUUGUAAAGCUCUUUUCUCCGGGACGAUAAUGACGGUACCGGAGGAAUAAGCCCCGGCUAACUUCGUG
RNAcentral lists this ribosomal RNA (437 nucleotides) under uncultured bacterium. Its description in RNAcentral is "partial 16S ribosomal RNA". It matches the Rfam family "Bacterial small subunit ribosomal RNA", at positions 29 to 507 of the family's 1533-position model. The record is from RNAcentral.